This 922-nucleotide ribosomal RNA is filed under the name Phormidesmis sp. ATA12-3-CV4. RNAcentral's name for it is "bacterial SSU rRNA". It matches the Rfam family "Bacterial small subunit ribosomal RNA", at positions 94 to 1046 of the family's 1533-position model. Lineage: Bacteria; Bacillati; Cyanobacteriota; Cyanophyceae; Leptolyngbyales; Leptolyngbyaceae. The record is from RNAcentral.
AGUGGCGGACGGGUGAGUAACGCGUGAGAAUCUGCCUUUAGGACGGGAACAACAACUGGAAACGGUUGCUAAAGCCCGAUGUGCCCUUCGGGGUGAAAUACUUGUAGCCUGAAGAUGAGCUCGCGUCAGAUUAGCUAGUUGGUUAGGUAACGGCUGACCAAGGCGACGAUCUGUAACUGGUCUGAGAGGAUGACCAGUCACACUGGGACUGAGACACGGCCCAGACUCNUACGGGAGGCAGCAGUGGGGAAUUUUCCGCAAUGGGCGAAAGCCUGACGGAGCAAUACCGCGUGAGGGAGGAAGGCUCUUGGGUCGUAAACCUCUUUUAUCAGGGAAGAAACAAAUGACGGUACCUGAUGAAUCAGCAUCGGCUAACUCCGUGCCAGCAGCCGCGGUAAUACGGAGGAUGCAAGCGUUAUCCGGAAUUAUUGGGCGUAAAGCGUCCGCAGGUGGUUUUGAAAGUUUGCUGUCAAAGCGCGGAGCUUAACUUCGUACCGGCAGUGAAAACUCCAAGACUAGAGUUUGGUAGGGGUCACGGGAAUUCCCAGUGUAGCGGUGAAAUGCGUAGAGAUUGGGAAGAACACCAGCGGCGAAAGCGCGUGACUGGGCCUGAACUGACACUCAUGGACGAAAGCUAGGGGAGCGAAAGGGAUUAGAUACCCCUGUAGUCCUAGCCGUAAACGAUGACAACUAGGUGUUGCCCGUAUCGACCCGGGCAGUGCCGUAGCCAACGCGUUAAGUUGUCCGCCUGGGGAGUACGCACGCAAGUGUGAAACUCAAAGGAAUUGACGGGGGCCCGCACAAGCGGUGGAGUAUGUGGUUUAAUUCGAUGCAACGCGAAGAACCUUACCAAGGCUUGACAUGUCGCGAAUCUCGGUGAAAGUCGAGAGUGCNUUCGGGAGCGCGAACACAGGUGGUGCAU